GAUGAACGCUGGCGGCGUGCUUAACACAUGCAAGUCGAACGGAAAGGCCCAAGCUUGCUUGGGUACUCAAGUGGCGAACGGGUGAGUAACACGUGGGUGAUCUGCCCUGCACUUCGGGAUAAGCCUGGGAAACUGGGGCUAAUACCGGAUAGGACGAUGGUUUGGAUGCUAUUGGGGGAAGUUUUUUCGGUGUUGGAUGAGCUCGCGGCCUAUCAGCUCGUGGUGGGGGGAUUGGCCUAUCAAAGGGUCGUGGGGUAGCGCGCCUGUGAGAGGGUGCGGGCACAUUUGGGCUGAGAUACGGGCCAGAGUCCUACGGGGGGCAGAAGUGGGGAAUAUUGCACAAUGGGGGCAAGAGUGAGGCAGAGACGCCGCGUGGGGGAUGACGGCGUUUGGGUUGUAAACUCCUUUCGCUAGGGACGAGGCGUGUUUGUGACGGUACCUGGAGAAGAAGCACCGGCUAACUACGUG
Molecule: ribosomal RNA, 468 nt
Filed under: uncultured bacterium
Lineage: Bacteria
Description: partial 16S ribosomal RNA
Rfam family: Bacterial small subunit ribosomal RNA
Source: RNAcentral